Molecule: long non-coding RNA, 1715 nt
Organism: Mirounga angustirostris (Northern elephant seal)
Lineage: Eukaryota; Metazoa; Chordata; Mammalia; Carnivora; Phocidae
Exons: 3
Source: RefSeq, a predicted model, not a curated record
UCCACUCCUUGCUGGCCUUCAACCCUGCACUGCUGCUGUGUGGUCUGAGAAGGACAGAGCAGCCAGACCUGACAAUAAUCUUCCCCAUUAGGGACAUAAACUAAAUUUGAAUAAGAGCAGCCUAAGUUCACAAGAGCUUUCAGGAGACAGUUCUUUUGCACUAGGGGCUCUUCCUAGCUUCAGUGGGGCAUCAAUGGCAUCCAGGGGUGGCUAUAGACAAUUGUUGCCCUCUCCUCAAAUGGUGAGUCUGGCCUGGGUCUUUUCCUGCACAUACUUUGGACAUUGAUUUAUUUGUCUCUCCCUUUCCUUUUCCCCUCCUUCCUUAUCCCCUGCUCUCCCCCUCUCCCCGCCCCGCCCCCCCCACACACACCAAGGGAGGAAUGAAACUCAUGAAGGAUAAAGCCUGUCAGCUCCCAAAAAAACAAUUCUCUCAUUUGCAGAGGGAGGAAGAACUCUAAAAUCUAGCUUUUCACAUCCCCUUGUUGAGCUUUAAUAGGAUUCUAUUUGGAACAGAAGACUAGCAGCCACCCACACUCACCUGCCCAUCUUGUAGUGAUUUGCACAUCUCUUUCCAAUUCCCAUCCUGUAAACUUUAGGAAAAUCAAAAGUACCUAUUCAUCAAGAAAAGACUACAUACUUAAUAGAUUCAGUUCUUGUUGGAAAAAAAGAAACCUAAAUAUAAUGAAUUAAAUGUCAAAAGAUUUCAGUGGACGAUUCUUAGAAUCAGGAGAAAUAUAUAGUUAUAGACACAGUUCUGUUAAUAUAACCCAGAAUUGGAUCUGUCUCCUUCCCUCCUAAUAUGAUUAUUUUCCCCAGGUGGCCCACACUCUUACAACGUAAGGAAGAGCUAAAUGCCAAGGGGAUUUUUUGGGUUCCCUCUCUUUCCUGCUUGGUUUUGGGCAUGCCAUGGAAAACAGUGCCUGUAGAAAAUUCUGUUGUGUUCUGUUACCUACAGUUCACAGUCCAGGAGAAGCCACUUGGAAAUUAGAUUUCUGUUCAGAAAUACGAUUUUAUUUAUUUGAGAGAGAGAGUGAAUGAGCAAGAGAGCACAAGCAGGGGAGCAGCAGAGGGAGAGGGAGAAGCACGCUUUCCCUGCUGAGCAGGGAGCAGCAUACGGGCUCCAUCCCAGGACCCUAAGAUCAUGACUCCAGCUGAAGGCAGACGCUUAACCAACUGAGCCACCGAGAUGCCCCUCAAGGCUUCUCUUCCAAUGAAUCUCUCACCCAUUGGAUGUGGAUUCUCUUGGCAUCUGCUUCAAGGAGAACUUGAGUGAAGACCACCAACAAUGAUAUUUCACAUCUCCUUCCCUCCUUUAUUUUUUCCAUUUAUCUCGUAUUAUUUAACAAGCUCAGUUGUACUUAUUUAUCUUGUUCAUUGUUUUUCUCUUCUGUCCUUCAAAUCUAAGCUUCAUAAUUCUAUUUGUCCUCUGUUGCUUCCCCAAUCCCUAGAAUGAUUCCUGGCUCAUAGUAAGUGACAAAAAAGUAUUUGUUGAGUGAAUUAGUGAAGGAAAAGACAUUAAAUAAAACGCAAAUAAAGUUCCUGGAAAAAAUGAAAAGCCCGUUGAAAUUUUUUAAAGUUCAUCUUAAAAAAUAAAAACUUAAAAAUAGGCAAGAAAAUGCCAAAACAUAAUAGCAAUAUAUGAUACGAGAUAUUGAAGAAUAUAAAGACAAAAUAAUUAAAGCAGCCUGGAGAAAAAGCUAAAAUCAGUUCUAAAC